Molecule: ribosomal RNA, 1099 nt
Filed under: Paenibacillus sp. BS6
Lineage: Bacteria; Bacillati; Bacillota; Bacilli; Caryophanales; Paenibacillaceae
Description: bacterial SSU rRNA
Rfam family: Bacterial small subunit ribosomal RNA
Source: RNAcentral
GUGAGUGAUGAAGGUUUUCGGAUCGUAAAGCUCUGUUGCCAGGGAAGAACGUCCGGUAGAGUAACUGCUCCGGAGUGACGGUACCUGAGAAGAAAGCCCCGGCUAACUACGUGCCAGCAGCCGCGGGUAAUACGUAGGGGGCAAGCGUUGUCCGGAAUUAUUGGGCGUAAAGCGCGCGCAGGCGGCUUUUAGUCUGGUGUUUACCUUGGGCCACCUGAGGCGCACUGGAAACUGGGUGGCUUGAGUACAGAAGAGGAAAGUGGAAUUCCACGUGUAGCGGUGAAAUGCGUAGAUAUGUGGAGGAACACCAGUGGCGAAGGCGACUUUCUGGGCUGUAACUGACGCUGAGGCGCGAAAGCGUGGGGAGCAAACAGGAUUAGAUACCCUGGUAGUCCACGCCGUAAACGAUGAGUUGCUAGGUGUUUAGGGGUUUCGAUCCCUUUGGUCCGAAGUUACACAGCUAAGCACUCCGCCUGGGGAGUCGGUCGCAAGACUGAAACUAAAGGAAUUGACGGGGACCCGCACAAGCAGUGGAGUAUGUGGUUUAAUUCGAAGCAACGCGAAGAACCUUACCAGGUCUUGACAUCCCUCUGAAUCUGCUAGAGAUAGCAGCGGCCUUCGGGACAGAGGAGACAGGUGGUGCAUGGUUGUCGUCAGCUCGUGUCGUGAGAUGUUGGGUUAAGUCCGCAACGAGCGCAACCCUUAACUUUAGUUCCAGCAGGUUAUGCUGGGCACUCUAGAGUGACUGCCGGUGACAAACCGGAGGAGGUGGGGAUGACGUCAAAUCAUCAUGCCCCUUAUGACCUGGGCUACACACGUACUACAAUGGCCGGUACAACGGGAAGCGAAGCCGCGAGGUGGAGCCAAUCCCAUCAAAGCCGGUCUCAGUUCGGAUUGCAGGCUGCAACUCGCCUGCAUGAAGUCGGAAUUGCUAGUAAUCGCGGGAAUCAGCAUGCCGCGGUGAAUACGUUCCCGGGUCUUGUCACACCGCCCGUCACACCACGAGAGUUUCAACACCCGAAGUCGGUGGGGUACCCGCAAGGGAGCCAGCCGCCGAAGGUGGGGUAGAUGAUUGGGGUAAGUCGAACCAGGUACCAGG